RNAcentral lists this small RNA (144 nucleotides) under Pan troglodytes (chimpanzee). RNAcentral describes it as "processed transcript". Lineage: Eukaryota; Metazoa; Chordata; Mammalia; Primates; Hominidae. The record is from RNAcentral.
AUCCUCCAAAUGUACAUAUUAUUGGAAAUCUGCCUUUUAGUGUUUCAACUCCACUGAUUAUCAAGUGGCUUGAAAAUAUUUCCUGUAGAGAUGGACCUUUUGUUUAUGGCAGAACUCAGAUGACUUUGACUUUUCAAAAGGAAG